AGGAUUAUAGUUAAUAAUAACAUUUAAUUUGCAAUUAAAAAGUAUUGAUUUUUCAAUUUAUCUUU
RNAcentral lists this transfer RNA (65 nucleotides) under Suinzona borowieci. RNAcentral describes it as "tRNA-Ala". The record is from RNAcentral. Lineage: Eukaryota; Metazoa; Arthropoda; Insecta; Coleoptera; Chrysomelidae.